This 73-nucleotide transfer RNA is filed under the name Gadus morhua (Atlantic cod). Its description in RNAcentral is "tRNA-Lys (TTT) (tRNA-Lys-TTT-8-1, tRNA-Lys-TTT-8-2)". It matches the Rfam family "tRNA". Rfam says of the family: Transfer RNA (tRNA) molecules are approximately 80 nucleotides in length. Lineage: Eukaryota; Metazoa; Chordata; Actinopteri; Gadiformes; Gadidae. The record is from Rfam by way of RNAcentral.
GCCUGGAUAGCUCAGCCGGUAGAGCAUCAGACUUUUAAUCUGAGGGUCCAGGGUUCAAGUCCCUUUUCAGGCG